GGGCGCUGUGGGCGAGGACCCGAGCGGGCCGUAUUGGAAUAGACUGAGGUUCGCUGCAGUAUUGUGAGAAGAUUAGAGAUUUGAGUUUAGGGUGCUGUGUGUAGAAAACUUGCACGUGGAAAACACGCAGCCGGGCCGCCACGUGUCCUGAGUGUAGUGGUGGCGGCAGGCUUCGAGCUUAGGCGUGUGGAGGCUGGUGCUGAUGGCCACGAGCGCUGUGCGCGGCCUGCUUGCUAAACGCCGACAUCCGACUGGCCAAGCCUGAGCGGCGGCGGGAAAACCAUAUUCCCGGUAUUUGGGGCAGGGAGUUUUACGUUGAGCAAGAGGCCUUUAAUAAGGAGAGUGUCGUUUUCCCGUCGCGGAUCAAAAGGUGAUUUGAAAAUGGGCAGCCCUGACGUUGCCUGAGAUUGAGUUGUAUUGUGCCCAGGUGGCGCUGUGUGCAAACCAGAUUAGUGAUUGGGAAGAUUUUAGUACUGAAAACCUUCAACUGUCAUUCUGUAAGAAUGCUUAGUUUUAAAUAUUUUGGUCCCCUUCAGGAACAAUGGCUCUCAGUGGCAUAACGGAGCUGUUACCUGGAGAUGUUCACGUAAGUACUGUUGAGCUUAGUUUUUAAACUGAAGAAGUAAACCUGUUGAUUUACAGGAAAAGAUGGUGCAUCAUUUGAAAUUUGCUUCCUACUAGAGACAAAGGAAAACUAGAAAAUACGUGAGGGAAUAUUUCCUGGGAAAUUACUUGGUUGGAACCUGACCAUUUUACCCAGCAUCCUGGGAGUUGAUGAAUACUAACAGACCUACAAAUGUCACUGGCUAGCAAUGUAAUUUUUAAAUGAGGGUUCGCUGUCUUUCCAUUGAAAGAGGCCAGUUUGCUGUGACCUUCCUAAGAUGUAACCCGUUUCUGGUUAAUACCACCAGAUUUACUUGUGAAAAAUCGAUAAGGAAAAGCUCUUCAUUUAACUGACAUGGGAAGAAAACCUACAAAUCAAGACAAUAUUUUUUUAUUUCUGUAAACAGGUUAUGAAACCGCAUCAGAUUCAGAUUAAUGUAUUUGUAAGAUUUAAGCCAUUACUUUUUAUGUCCUACUGCCCUAGAGAAUCCUAACCUGUUAAGCAGAUUACUUUGUAGAUCUAUUUCUAUUUUAAAUACAGGAAUGCAAAGGAAGGUACAUAUUUUUAAUGGAGAAGUCUUUGAUUUCAGUUAACCAGACUUGUAAUCAGCUUAUUGUGAAUGUUUCACCUUUGGCCACCUGUUUGAAUUUAAAGUCUACGAUUGUAAUUAAAGCUGAGUGAAAAUUUACACUGAAUAUUGUGGAAAAGUCCUUGGAUUUUUAUGGAGAGAUGACUCAUUUUGGCAGUAUCACACGGUACAGAUCAUGUUGGGUUUUGUAGCGUACUGAAUAUUACUGGAUUAGUGGUGAGCAAAACGGAAAGACUGAGUCUAUUACUGGGGGAGGGGAAAAUACCAGGUAUUACUGGUUCUAAUUACUGAAUUCUGGAAUGUUUGGUCCUAAUGAAUUAUAGUUUGAAAGGAUGCUUAAGAUGGAAAAUGUGAGGGACACCUUGGUGGCUCAGUAAAACAUCUCAACUCCUCCAUGCUGGGCAUGAAACCUACUUUAAAAAAAAAAGAUGGGAAAAUGUGGAAUGCUGAAAAUGAAGAGAGCACAGCAUGACAACGGGUCAUGGGGGAAGUUCACUGAUAAAACCAAACAUUGCAUAGAAUGGAUUUAGUGUAGACAGUAAUAGCAUCUGAUCUAACCAAGAUGGUUUGGCCCCAUGCAUGAUCAUUUUCCCUAAAUAGCUACAUGAAUAAAUUGUUGCUAAGCCUAUACUUCAGUGUUAGUCAAAAGAAUAUUCUUGUCAGCUUAUGAUUAUGAACUACCUUUUUUCCUAAAAUGUUUUCUUAGUGAAAAUACAACGUUGGACCCAUGUAGUUUAAGAGGCUCAGUGACAACCAUGCCAUUUAGUGGCACACCCACAAAGAAGAGGUCACAUGAGCACACAGUGUGAUGGUGACCACCCACAAGCCAAGACAAGAGGCCUCAGAAUGUUGAACUUCCAGCCUCCAGAACUGUGAGAGAAAAUUCAUUUCUAUUGUUUAAGCCACCCAGUCUGUGAUAUUUUGUUAUGGCAGCUCUAACAGACUAAGAAGCAGAGGAUAAAUGGCCACUGCUAUAAUUUUGGGAGUUUAUAUUUAGCUAAAGAAUUAUGAGUAAUAACUAUGAAAAAAGCCCAUGCAAUGUAAUCUCUCUGGCUUUAUACAUUUUCCCUUUAGGUUUCUAUUUAUUACACUGGAACUAAAUCUACAAUGUACUUUCUUAUUGAAUAUUAGCAAACACAGCUGCUAGUCACAAAGCUUCCUCUCCACUUGUUUCAUCAUCAAGUUCAAUUAUUUGAGAAAUAGGUAAUUUCUCAAUAAAAAAUACUAGGGAAGAGGGACACCUGGCUGGCUCAGUCAGUAGAGCAUGUGACCCUUGAUCCUGGGGUCAUGAGUUCAAGCCCCAUGUUGGGCAUAGAGCUUACUUAAAAAAUAAAAAUAAAAAUAAAUCAGUAAAGAAACCAGAAAUUGAAAUGAAACUAUCUUGGAUAGAAAGUGAAUGUUGUCUGAGGUCUUAUGCUUCACAGGAAAAACUUUUUAAUAUAAAUGAAAUUACUUCUUUCAUAAUCACCUCAUAUAACAAAUUAUUUAGGCUUACUAAAUAUUUCAGUCUAAAAUUUCCUUUUUCUAUGGAAACAUUAAGAUUGCAGUAAGUUUUGGGGUACCUGGGUGGCUCAGUUGGCUAAGCAUCUGAUUUUUGGUUUUGGCUCAGGCAAUGAUUCAUAGUUUGUGGGAUCAAGCCCCAUGUAGGUCUCUGUGCUGACAGAGCAGAGCCUGCUUAGGAUUUUCUCUCCCUCUCUCUGCACCUCCCUGCUCACGCUCUCUCUCCCUUCCCCUCCCGCUCUCAAAAUAAAUGAAAUAAACUUAAAAAAAAAAAGAUUACAAUAAGUUUUAACUUAACAUUUUUUAUAACUGAUAGGUCACACCUAUCAUGAUAUUGUUCCCUAUUUAAUGAAAGAUGCUUAAUAUAAAAUAAUUACACUUUCGUAGCUCUUUUUAUUUUUCACAAUACUUUGACAUAUAUUAUCUUGGGUUCUCCCCCAGAGAAACCCUGGAAGGUAGAUAAGGUAGGCAUUAUUUAGUAUUCAUUUAUUUUAUAUGUGAUAAACUAAGAUUGAGAUAUUUAAAAUAUAAGCUGGUUAAGUUCCAGGUCAGUGGAAGGAAUGAUUUCAUCAUCUAAUGUAUUUUGUAUUGUUUUUUAGUUUUGGUGCGACAUUUAAGAAAACAGUGACAAACUAGGAAAUAUCAAAAAAAAGAAGACAAAGGUUCUAGAAACCAUGUCAUUUUGGGUGACCUUUUAAGAUCUUGGAAAUAUUUAACCUGAAGAAAUGAAAGUCAAGGGAAAACAUGAUGACUAUUUUAGGGGUGCCUGGGUGACUCAGUCAGUUAAGAAUCUGACUUUGGCUCAGAUCAUGAUCUCAUGGCUUGUGGGUUUGAGCCCUGCAUCAGGCUCUGUGCAGACAGCUCAGAGCCUGAAGCCUGCUUCAGAUUCUGUGUCCAUCUCUCUCUGCCUCUCCACUGCUUGAGCUCUGCACCCACCCCCCCAAAUAAUUAAACAUCAAAAAAAUGAAAAACACGGUGACUAGUUUUAGAUCUUUGGAAGUGUAUCAGAUGGGGUAAUAGUAAUAAUAAUAAUCCGAUGUGAUAGGUACUAUUAAUUUUUUUAAGUUUAUUUACUUAUUUUGAGGGAGAGCACACAAGAACAUGAGCAGAGUUGGGGCAGAGAGAGAAGAGAAAGAAUCCUAAGCAGGCUCCAUGCCAUCAGCACAGAGCCCAAUAUGGGGCUCAGACUCACAAACUGUGAGAUUGUGACCUGAGCUGAAAUGAAGGAUCGGACGCUUAACCAACUGAGCCAUCCAGGCAUCAGUAGGUACUAUUAGUAUACACAUUUUACAGAUGAGGACAUUGAAACUUAGAAAGGUAACCUAAUGAAGGUCGCAUAGGAAGUGAAGGAAUUGGAAUUUAAAAUCUGGCACUCUAAGUCCAGAGAUGGUGUUCUUACCCCACUAAAUUCCUUCCCCAAAGGAGUAGUUAAAUGUUUCUCUAGAAGGCAUAAAGGAGAUCAAUGAAAUAAAUAAAAAGAGACCAUCCACAAAUGAGCCUAAAAAUGAGUUCCCAAUAUGAGAAUGUGCAGCCUCCAUAUCAUAGUCUCUUGUCAGUGUGAGUUGGAGGAAGGAGGCUGGCCCUAAUCAACUUUGAAGACCCUUCUAAGUCUAAGUUCAGAUUUUUGAUUUGCCCAAGGUAACCCAGCUACUUAAUGUCCAAAAUGACAACCAAUAUCUUCUAUCCCUUUUUGAGUCCAGUAUUCAGUCCAAUAAGUGUAAUGUCCCAGUUUUUUCCAGUGGUAAUAUAAAUUUCCUCAAAAUUCAUUAAUCCGUGAGAGUGGGUAAAAUCACAUUAUGUUGUACUGGCUCACUGCCCAUCUGUUAACACAGGACCUCUAGCCCGUAUAAAAUUCCUUCAGAGAGGCCCAUUAGAGUAUCUCACAUGUAUUCACAAAUAAGUCUCCCAAUGCUCUUCCUGAUAUUCUGCCUAUUACUAUGGCCCCUUUAUUGGGUACCCCCAUACAUCCAGUGCCUCCCACUAAGCAUCAAAGUCUCCUUUCUUGCUGACACUAUCAUGGUCCAGAGAGUUGUUGUAUUCUCAUAUCCUUCUCCUACUGCUAUGCCUCAUAAAAGAGAAAUCUGUGCAGUUCUUCUUGUUCCUUCUGUCUCACAAAGCCCCUCAAAAAACAGUCCCUUCAGCAUUUUUUCAUAGAUGUUUUUCCAUGAGGGGCACCUGGCUGGCUCAGUCUGUAGAGCAUGCAACUCUUGGUCACGAGGUCAUGAGUUUAAGCCCCACAUUGGGAGUAGAGCCUACUUUAAAAAACAAAAUAAAAAAUAAAAACGUAUCCUAGAUAUUUUUCCAUGGCACUAAGACCUGGUGCCUGUAGUCAGGCUUGGGUUUAGAACUUCCCUAUCUUUCUCUGCCACAUCUCUAAUCUCUUCUUAGCAGACUCUCACCCUGCAAUUCAUCCUAAGAAUCUGGAAGGUUCAGCCUCAUGAGUCCAGACAAAUCUGAAUCUCAGAUUAAGCUUAACCCUGCUAUAUCAAUAGUAGCCUGAAAUCCAUAUUGUUUUUUUUUUUAAUUUAAUGUUAAUUUAGUUUUGAGAAAGAAAGAAAGAGAAAGAGUGUGAGAGGCAGAGAGGGGGAGAUACAGAAUCCAAAGCAGGCUCCAGGCUGUGAGCUGUCAGCGCAGAGCCUGAUGCGGAGCUCGAACCCACAAACCACAUGAUCAUGACCUGAACUGAAGUCAGAUACUUAAACAACUGAGCCACCCAGGCGCCCUUGAAAUCCAUAUUUUUUUAAAGAUUUUAUUUACUUUUGAAGUAAACUCUAUACCCAUUGUCGGGCUCAAACUUAAGACCCUGAGAUCAAGAGACAUGCUCCACCAACUGAGCCAUCCAGGCACCCCCAAGUCACUUUAAUAAACCAUUUUUACAAAAAUGUUGCCAAUAGUUGAUCAAUUUAAUUACAUUAGAACAUAGACAUUAAGCUCACUAAACUUCUCUGAGGCAAUAGUAAGCUAUAUUCUUUGGUACAUCUCAAUUCUCAUCUUUUAGUUUCAUCACUGAUGAAGACUUUCAGCUUAUAUUACAUUUCUUUUUCAAAAAUGAAUGCAAUAACAUUGCUCAGAGUCUGAUCAUAUACCCAGAAAUGUUAGGCUAGUUUUGAAAUCAAUGGACCUGCCUCUCAUGUGGAAUCUUAUGGAUCAUUGAAAAGAUUUUACUCUAGGGGCGCCUGGGUGGCUCAGUCGGUUAAGUGUCUGACUUUGACUCAGGUCACAAUCUCGCAGUUUGUGAGUUCGAGCCCCGCAUCAGGCUCUGUGCUGACAGCUCAGAGCCUGGAGCCUGCUUCGGAUUCUGUAUCUCCUCCUCUCUCUGCCCCUCCCAUGCUCAUGCUCUGUCUCUCAAUAAUAAAUAUAUGUUAAAAAUUUCAAAAAAAAAAAAAAAAGAAAAGAUUUUACUCUGAGUAAAUUGGGAACAACUGCAAAAGAAAACAGAGGGGUGCCUGGGUGGCUCAGUCAAUUAAGCAUCUGACUCUUGAUUUCAGCUCAGGUCAUGAUCCAGGGUUGUAGGAUCAAGCCCUGUGAUGAGCAUGGAGCCUGCAGCCUGCUUGAGAUUCUCUCUCUCCCUCCGCCCCUUCCCCUCCCCCCCCCACACUCUCUCUCUCUAAAAUAAAGAAGAAAAAAAAAAAAAGGAAACAGAAACUCAAAGGGUGAUUCAUAGCAUCAAAACAUGUGAACCCCACCCCCUAGGGCCCAGAUUGUAGUCUCUAUCAUUUACCAUUAAAAGGAAACAAGGCGCAUUGGAGAAAUGACUGAUUGCAGAUCUGAGGCAAGAAAUGUAUAAGAUGAACCUGGUACACCUUUGCUAUAGCAGAGAGCAUGAAAGCUGUCAAAGACUGCUAAGAUUGUAUUAAAAGAACUAAGGAGCCAAUCUGGAGUAUCUUCUACCAUCCGAAGAUGUAAUGUAGACUAUUACAAAGGAUAAUAACUACAAUAGAUAGAAACACAUAAAAUAUGUUCAAAUCUAUGAAUUCAUAAUGAUACCAAAACAAAACAAAACUGAUUUUGAUGCUGUUAGAGGAUGUUGGUAAACCAAUUUAUCAAUUUCAGAACUGGCAAAUCAAGAGACUUUCCAACACCAACUCUAGUAACAGAUAAUCAAAUAGAAGGUAAGAAAGUUUCUCUUUAUUGAUGUCUUCUAGUUAAUAAAUGAAAAAGAUUGACAUAGUUAGAAUGUCACCACUUUGCAAACAUCUAAUGAGUUAAUGUAUCUAAGCGAUGAUCAUCAAUGGCUGCUAACAUCAAGAAAAAGAGAAGCAAACUGAAUAUAAGUAGUUGAUUGGAUGUUUUGAGGCAUGUCAAUGAUAUACUGAUACUUAAAGAGCCACUUUCCACAGGAAAUAUGCUUUAAAUUUUUUUUCCAUUAAAAGUGAUAUAUUUACCCUAAGAUAUUAGCACUCUCCAUUCUUUGCAAUAAUGUCACACAUCUGCAAGAUGUCUCACCAGUCUCCCCAAAAAGAGUUCCUUGAAUGAGUCUAACAAAACUCUAGAAAACUGGUUAUUAACAUGAAUAAAAUAGCAUGAGAUUUAUCACUUCAGCUUCAGUUGCAUCUUGGGGAGAUGAGUUUGUUUCAUACACUUUAAACUCUUCUGUCAACUAGUGAUAACAGUCCUGACUAUAGUAUCAUUGUCUACCUCAAUAAACAGCCAUAUCUCAGGAAGGGAAAUAUGCUCAAUACCAUGGUAAUGUUUACUCUAGAUAAAUGUUUCAUAGAUGAUUCAUAUUAUAGUACCCCAAAUUUCUUUGAACAUUCUUCUUAAUAUAGAAUAAAUACAACCUCUUA
Long non-coding RNA from Acinonyx jubatus (cheetah), 7480 nucleotides. RefSeq lists it as uncharacterized. The record is from RefSeq and is a predicted model, not a curated record. The transcript has 5 exons. Lineage: Eukaryota; Metazoa; Chordata; Mammalia; Carnivora; Felidae.